This 417-nucleotide ribosomal RNA is filed under the name Triticum aestivum (bread wheat). Its description in RNAcentral is "partial small subunit ribosomal RNA". The record is from RNAcentral. Lineage: Eukaryota; Viridiplantae; Streptophyta; Magnoliopsida; Poales; Poaceae.
AUGGGAGUUGGACAUGCAAAUGGUUCUGCUAGAGUACGAAUAAGAGAGGCAAAAAUUCCGACCAAUGUUCAACGGGUGGGUUUACCCAAUACACAUGAAGUAAACGAGGAGGCACUAAGGCAGGCUAUGGCAGCAGAUGGUGUGGUUACAAACAUCAAAGUUUUUCCAGAAAGGCGGUAUGCUUUUGUGGAGUUUGCAACCAUUGAAGGAGCUUCUAAUGCUAAAAAUCUUCUAGAUGGGCGUCUUUUCAAUAAUAGAAGGAUUCAUGUUCUUUUCUCUUGCUGUGGGAUUGAUAACCUAACACCUCUUGUUGGGUUCCCUAGAUCAGACAUGUACAAUGAUAGUCCACAUGUCGCAUGUGAUUAUUUUGGUCCUGGUCGCAGUAGUCAUGACACAUCUAAAGGGUAUGAUCCUUGA